CCUACGGGGGGCUGCAGUUAGGAAUUUUGCGCAAUGGGAGAAAUCCUGACGCAGCAACGCCGCGUGGGGGAUGAAGGCCUUCGGGUCGUAAACCCCUUUUAGUUGGGAAAAACACAAUGAUGGUACCAACAGAAAAAGCACCGGCUAACUCUGUGCCAGCAGCCGCGGUAAUACAGAGGGUGCAAGCGUUAUUCGGAAUUACUGGGCGUAAAGCGCGCGUAGGCUGUUCGAUAAGUCUGGUGUGAAAUCCCUGGGCUCAACCCAGGAAGUGCAUU
RNAcentral lists this ribosomal RNA (275 nucleotides) under uncultured bacterium. RNAcentral's name for it is "partial 16S ribosomal RNA". It matches the Rfam family "Bacterial small subunit ribosomal RNA", at positions 338 to 627 of the family's 1533-position model. The record is from RNAcentral.